This 239-nucleotide unclassified non-coding RNA is filed under the name Verruciconidia persicina. RNAcentral's name for it is "Acremonium persicinum partial internal transcribed spacer region". The stretch from base 1 to 46 matches the Rfam family "Eukaryotic small subunit ribosomal RNA", at positions 1786 to 1831 of the family's 1831-position model. The record is from RNAcentral. Lineage: Eukaryota; Fungi; Ascomycota; Sordariomycetes; Hypocreales; Bionectriaceae.
AAGUCGUAACAAGGUCUCCGUUGGUGAACCAGCGGAGGGAUCAUUACUGAGUCUAACAAACUCCCAAACCCCUGUGAACAUACCUACUGUUGCUUCGGCGGGAUCGCCCCGGGCGCCUUCGCGGUGCCCCGGAACCAGGCGCCCGCCGGGGACAUCAAACUCUUGAUUGUUAUAGUGGCAUUCUCUGAGUAAAACAUACAAAUAAGUCAAAACUUUCAACAACGGAUCUCUUGGCUCUG